GAUAGCCAAGAGGGGACAAAAGCUGAAUUAUAAGCCCACACAAUUUAUGGUUCUUCAGGUUUGCCACUUGGAUGUCUACAACGGUAUCAACUCACUACUAAGUCAGCUGCAAAUUACUCAGUUCCCAACCUAAUAUUUGGUGUACAAAUGAGGGCACCGUGCUCUGUAAAGUUGUUCUUGCACAGUUGUGUCUGCCUCAGCAGGGAAAACGUGGAAGCCAGGAAUUCCCAUUUGCUCGUUUGUUCUUACCUUCCUAGACAAUCCUACCAAAUCAUUGCAACUUGGUGCAGAGAAAGACCAGCAUGAGCUGGGAAUUGGCUACUGUCCUAUGCUUGUAUGAUGAAUAGAUCAAAGAGAAUUAUGGAGGAAUCCAUUAAUUUAAGCCAGAAGAAAGCUGGAGAAGUUACAGACUACAUUAAGUAUAAACUGCAAACUAAUUGGCCAUCUUGGAAAUAUCAUAGUUUUUCAGAUUAUUAUAAAGUUCCAAAGCCCUACUGUAUCUUUUUACACAUAAAGAAAUCGAUAAGCCCUACUGUAUCUUUUUAUACAUAAAGAAAUUUAAGACUAAAAAUAAGAUAAUUCAUUUAAGCUCACAAUAUUAUUUGGUCUUAUUUUGGGGAACUGUCAAGUAAAAUGACAAAUUAAAAAGGGCUAAUCUUCCAAAAUAGAGUACAGCGACCUUUUCCUUUUUUUUUUUUUCUUAAA
Molecule: long non-coding RNA, 705 nt
Organism: Neofelis nebulosa (Clouded leopard)
Lineage: Eukaryota; Metazoa; Chordata; Mammalia; Carnivora; Felidae
Exons: 3
Source: RefSeq, a predicted model, not a curated record